Arabis alpina (gray rockcress) is the source of this 106-nucleotide small nucleolar RNA. It matches the Rfam family "Plant small nucleolar RNA R71". From Rfam's summary of the family: R71 is a member of the C/D box family of snoRNAs containing the C (UGAUGA) and D (CUGA) box motifs. Multiple nearly identical copies of this snoRNA have been identified in Arabidopsis, and it is thought to function as a 2'-O-ribose methylation guide for 18S ribosomal RNA. Lineage: Eukaryota; Viridiplantae; Streptophyta; Magnoliopsida; Brassicales; Brassicaceae. The record is from Rfam.
AACCCGUGAUGUGGACAGUCUCUCUGAUAUCCCUUGAUCCUGUCCCAUGCAACUUUGAAAGUUUCAGUCGGACCCUGAACAAACGUGGAUAUCUUAGCGCGAAGAU